This 301-nucleotide ribosomal RNA is filed under the name uncultured bacterium. RNAcentral describes it as "partial 16S ribosomal RNA". It matches the Rfam family "Bacterial small subunit ribosomal RNA", at positions 509 to 807 of the family's 1533-position model. The record is from RNAcentral.
CAGUCGCCGCGGGAAUACGAAGGGUGCAAGCGUUACUCGGAAUUACUGGGCGUAAAGCGUGUGUAGGUGGUUGUUUAAGUCUGUCGUGAAGGCCCUGGGCUCAACCUGGGAAUUGCGAUGGAUACUGGGCGACUAGAGUGCGGUAGAGGAUAGUGGAAUUUCCGGUGUAGCAGUGAAAUGCGUAGAGAUCGGAAGGAACAUCUGUGGCGAAGGCGACUACCUGGGCCAACACUGACACUGAGACACGAAAGCGUGGGGAGCAAACAGGAUUAGAUACCCCCGUAGUCCCUGUCUCUUAUAC